AGUGAACGCUGGCGGUAGGCCUAACACAUGCAAGUCGAACGGCAGCACAGUAAGAGCUUGCUCUUACGGGUGGCGAGUGGCGGACAGGUGAGGUAUACAUCGGAACCUACUUUUUCGUGGGGGAUAACGUAGGGAAACUUACGCUAAUACCGCAUACGACCUACGGGUGAAAGCAGGGGAUCUUCGGACCUUGCGCGAUUGAAUGAGCCGAUGUCGGAUUAGCUAGUUGGCGGGGUAAAGGCCCACCAAGGCGACGAUCCGUAGCUGGUCUGAGAGGAUGAUCAGCCACACUGGAACUGAGACACGGUCCAGACUCCUACGGGAGGCAGCAGUGGGGAAUAUUGGACAAUGGGCGCAAGCCUGAUCCAGCCAUACCGCGUGGGUGAAGAAGGCCUUCGGGUUGUAAAGCCCUUUUGUUGGGAAAGAAAAGCAGCAGGUUAAUACCCCGCUGUUCUGACGGUACCCAAAGAAUAAGCACCGGCUAACUUCGUG
This 492-nucleotide ribosomal RNA is filed under the name uncultured bacterium. RNAcentral's name for it is "partial 16S ribosomal RNA". It matches the Rfam family "Bacterial small subunit ribosomal RNA", at positions 29 to 507 of the family's 1533-position model. The record is from RNAcentral.